Molecule: long non-coding RNA, 399 nt
Filed under: Canis lupus familiaris (dog)
Lineage: Eukaryota; Metazoa; Chordata; Mammalia; Carnivora; Canidae
Description: lncRNA (ENSCAFG00000054603.1)
Source: RNAcentral
UGCAUUUUUCUUUUUCUUUUAGGUCUCGAAAACUGAAAUGCAUGUUUUCGAUCCAGUGCUGAGCCAUUUCUAAACAAUUCGUGUCAAUGACUACUUCUCACGAAAUAAUACCAAGGCACCACUUGUAUGAUUCUAAGUACCAUCCAGAGGUGAAAGCACCCCAGGUCCGUGCUCCUGGGCAGUCCAGAAUUCUCCAUGACCGCCUCUGCCACUACAAUUGGAAAGCUAGAGAGGGCGUCUUGUGAGGCUAGAUCGAUGAUAAUGAAUGGUACGAGGAUCCUGAAAAUGAUUUUCUACAGUCCCUUUCACGGUGCAAACUGUCUCUGGAAUAUCCAACUCAAUGGAAAAGGACUUUUCUAAAUGAAAACUUGAGGGCAUUGUCACACCCUCAGGGUCGGA